Molecule: ribosomal RNA, 265 nt
Filed under: uncultured bacterium
Lineage: Bacteria
Description: partial 16S ribosomal RNA
Rfam family: Bacterial small subunit ribosomal RNA
Source: RNAcentral
GUCCACGCCGUAAACGAUGGAUGCUAGCCGUCGGCAAGCUUGCUUGUCGGUGGCGCAGCUAACGCAUUAAGCAUCCCGCCUGGGGAGUACGGCCGCAAGGUUAAAACUCAAAGGAAUUGACGGGGGCCCCGCACAAGCGGUGGAGCAUGUGGUUUAAUUCGACGCAACGCGAAGAACCUUACCAGCUCUUGACAUUCACUGAUCGCCUGGGGAGACCUGGGAGUUCCAGCAAUGGACAGUGGGACAGGUGCUGCAUGGCUGUCGU